CCUACGGGAGGCAGCAGUAAGGAAUAUUGGUCAAUGGACGGAAGUCUGAACCAGCCAUGCCGCGUGCAGGAUGACGGCCCUCUGGGUUGUAAACUGCUUUUAUAGGGGACGAAAAAAGGGGAUUCUUCCUCACUUGACGGUACCCUAGGAAUAAGCACCGGCUAACUCCGUGCCAGCAGCCGCGGUAAUACGGAGGGUGCAAGCGUUAUCCGGAUUUACUGGGUUUAAAGGGUGCGUAGGUGGGUCGGUAAGUCAGCGGUGAAAUCUUCGAGCUUAACUCGGAAACUGCCAUUGAUACUAUCGAUCUUGAAUCGUCUAGAGGUAAGCGGAAUAUGUCAUGUAGCGGUGAAAUGCUUAGAUAUGACAUAGAACACCAAUUGCGAAGGCAGCUUACUAUGGAUGUAUUGACACUGAGGCACGAAAGCGUGGGGAUCAAACAGGAUUAGAUACCCUGGUAGUCCACGCCCUAAACGAUGGAUACUCGACAUUUGAGAUAUACUUUAAGUGUCUUGAGCGAAAGCAUUAAGUAUCCCCACCUGGAGAGANGCAGAGUAGUAACGUACGAAGAAGUUAGAGCGUGAGAGUGACGACGACGACGACGAGGGAGGAGG
Molecule: ribosomal RNA, 611 nt
Filed under: uncultured bacterium
Lineage: Bacteria
Description: bacterial SSU rRNA
Rfam family: Bacterial small subunit ribosomal RNA (bases 1-537)
Source: RNAcentral